Molecule: ribosomal RNA, 506 nt
Filed under: uncultured bacterium
Lineage: Bacteria
Description: partial 16S ribosomal RNA
Rfam family: Bacterial small subunit ribosomal RNA
Source: RNAcentral
AUUGAACGCUGGCGGCAGGCCUAACACAUGCAAGUCGGACGGUAGCACAGAGGAGCUUGCUCCUCGGGUGACGAGUGGCGGACGGGUGAGUAAUGUCUGGGGAUCUGCCCGAUAGAGGGGGAUAACCACUGGAAACGGUGGCUAAUACCGCAUAACGUCGCAAGACCAAAGAGGGGGACCUUCGGGCCUCUCACUAUCGGAUGAACCCAGAUGGGAUUAGCUAGUAGGCGGGGUAACGGCCCACCUAGGCGACGAUCCCUAGCUGGUCUGAGAGGAUGACCAGCCACACUGGAACUGAGACACGGUCCAGACUCCUACGGGAGGCAGCAGUGGGGAAUAUUGCACAAUGGGCGCAAGCCUGAUGCAGCCAUGUCGCGUGUAUGAAGAAGGCCUUCGGGUUGUAAAGUACUCUCAGCGGGGAGGAAGGCGACGCGGUUAAUAACCGCGUCGAUUGACGUUACCCGCAGAAGAAGCACCGGCUAACUCCGUGCCAGCAGCCGCAGUAA